CCCAGACAGCCAGGAUGUUGGCUUAGAAGCAGCCAUCAUUUAAAGAAAGCGUAAUAGCUCACUGGUCGAGUCGGCCUGCGCGGAAGAUGUAACGGGGCUAAACCAUGCACCGAAGCUGCGGCAGCGACGCUUAUGCGUUGUUGGGUAGGGGAGCGUUCUGUAAGCCUGUGAAGGUGGCCUGUGAGGGUUGCUGGAGGUAUCAGAAGUGCGAAUGCUGACAUAAGUAACGAUAAAGCGGGUGAAAAGCCCGCUCGCCGGAAGACCAAGGGUUCCUGUCCAACGUUAAUCGGGGCAGGGUGAGUCGACCCCUAAGGCGAGGCCGAAAGGCGUAGUCGAUGGGAAACGGGUUAAUAUUCCCGUACUUGGUGUUACUGCGAAGGGGGGACGGAGAAGGCUAUGUUGGCCGGGCGACGGUUGUCCCGGUUUAAGCGUGUAGGCUGGUUUUCCAGGCAAAUCCGGAAAAUCAAGGCUGAGGCGUGACGACGAGGCACUACGGUGCUGAAGCAACAAAUGCCCUGCUUCCAGGAAAAGCCUCUAAGCAUCAGGUAACAUCAAAUCGUACCCCAAACCGACACAGGUGGUCAGGUAGAGAAUACCAAGGCGCUUGA
This 608-nucleotide ribosomal RNA is filed under the name Salmonella enterica subsp. enterica serovar Weltevreden. RNAcentral describes it as "partial 23S ribosomal RNA". It matches the Rfam family "Bacterial large subunit ribosomal RNA", at positions 1084 to 1693 of the family's 2925-position model. Lineage: Bacteria; Pseudomonadati; Pseudomonadota; Gammaproteobacteria; Enterobacterales; Enterobacteriaceae. RNAcentral also lists the same sequence under 2 other names. The record is from RNAcentral.